AUACUAGAUUACAUAUAUAAUAUAUAUAGAGAGAGAGAGAAAAAAUAUUGAACUUCAAAUUAGUUUGGCGUUGUUUUAAUCUGCAUUAAAUAACUGAUGAUGUGAUGUUUGCUGAAAUCAAUUGGACAGCCCUCCCUACAAAAUGUUCCACCAGCCACAUCUGGAUCUUUGGACGUCUCCUGUGUGUCUCAUGGACCAACAGCAGCAUGAAGGUAUCAGUGAGUCCACAGAGACACGUGUGACUCAGGGAGCCCAGCUGGUGAACGCUGAGCCCUCGUUGUUUGUGUGAUGGUGAGUUAGUUUAGUUUCAUCAGGACCAAACUGACUCACCUUCAGACAUCACAGCAUGAAUGUAAGUCAAUGGUGACAUGAAGUGUCAGGGAGACUGUGGGUGUAGAGUCCAACCAGAGGAUCAACGACGUCCAAGGUAAGGAGAGAAGGACUUCAUCGAUAACACAAGAUAUUUACGGUUAAUAAUAUUUGUUUAGUUUAUUAAAUAUAAUUAACCUGUAAAAAGAUGAAAUGCAUUGAUCAGAUCAGAAUUUAACCUGAUCCAUCAAGAUAAAAAACAGCUAACUCACAACUGCUCUGCACUUUAGCUUGUUAGGAUUUCACUUACUGUUACUGUACUGUUUUAUAUUUAUAUUGCACACAUUUCAUUUAAUAUAAGUUUUUUUUACAACCUGCUCAGUUUUGCGCUUUUACCUCAUUUCUGCCU
Gasterosteus aculeatus aculeatus (three-spined stickleback) is the source of this 718-nucleotide long non-coding RNA. NCBI's taxonomy places the organism in Eukaryota, Metazoa, Chordata, Actinopteri, Perciformes, Gasterosteidae. The record is from Ensembl.